GAUCCUGGCUCAGGAUGAACGCUAGCUACAGGCUUAACACAUGCAAGUCGAGGGGCAGCAUGGUCUUAGCUUGCUAAGGCCGAUGGCGACCGGCGCACGGGUGAGUAACACGUAUCCAACCUGCCGUCUACUCUUGGACAGCCUUCUGAAAGGAAGAUUAAUACAAGAUGGCAUCAUGAGUCCGCAUGUUCACAUGAUUAAAGGUUUACCGGUGUAAGAUGGGGAUGCG
RNAcentral lists this ribosomal RNA (229 nucleotides) under uncultured bacterium. RNAcentral's name for it is "partial 16S ribosomal RNA". It matches the Rfam family "Bacterial small subunit ribosomal RNA", at positions 15 to 235 of the family's 1533-position model. The record is from RNAcentral.